Molecule: ribosomal RNA, 440 nt
Filed under: uncultured bacterium
Lineage: Bacteria
Description: partial 16S ribosomal RNA
Rfam family: Bacterial small subunit ribosomal RNA
Source: RNAcentral
CCUACGGGUGGCAGCAGUGGGGGAUAUUGCACAAUGGGGGAAACCCUGAUGCAGCGACGCCGCGUGAGGGAAGAAGUAUUUCGGUAUGUUAAGCUCUAUUAGUACGGAGGAAAACGACGGUACGUGUUUAUGAAUCCCCGGCCAACUACGCUCCAGCAGCCGUGGUAAUAUGCAGGGGGCCGGCGUGAUCCGGAUUUACUGGGGGUAAAGGGGGUGUAUACGGCAGCACAGGUCUGGAGUGAAAUGCCGGGGCUUAACCCCGGAACUGCUUUGGAAACUGUGUAGCUUGAGUGCAGGAGAGGUAAGUGGAAUUCCUGGUGUAGCGGUGAAAUGCGUAGAUAUUAGGAAGAACACCGGUUGCGAAGGCAGCUUACUGGCCUGUAACUGACGUUGAGGCUCGAAAGCGUGGGGAGCGAACAGGAUUAGAUACCCCGGUAGUC